GGGCGACUGGCGGGCGGGAAGGGGCGGGAAGAGGAAGGGGGGAGGCGUGGUGCGGAUUUAUUGGGCGUAAAGAGCGUGAGGGGGGCCAAGCAGGUCAGCUGGGAAAACUCGAGGCUCAACCGCGAGAGGUCGGUGGAAACCGUGUGGCGAGAGUCCGGAAGAGGAGAGUGGAAUUCCCGGUGGAGCGGUGAAAUGCGCAGAUAUCGGGAAGAACACCCGUGGCGAAGGCGGCUCUCUGGGACGGUACUGACGCUGAGACGCGAAAGCGUGGGGAGCGAACAGGAUUAGAUACCCGGAGUC
RNAcentral lists this ribosomal RNA (300 nucleotides) under uncultured Lactobacillus sp. RNAcentral describes it as "bacterial SSU rRNA". The stretch from base 54 to 300 matches the Rfam family "Bacterial small subunit ribosomal RNA", at positions 547 to 795 of the family's 1533-position model. Lineage: Bacteria; Bacillati; Bacillota; Bacilli; Lactobacillales; Lactobacillaceae. The record is from RNAcentral.